RNAcentral lists this ribosomal RNA (305 nucleotides) under uncultured bacterium. Its description in RNAcentral is "bacterial SSU rRNA". It matches the Rfam family "Bacterial small subunit ribosomal RNA", at positions 334 to 655 of the family's 1533-position model. The record is from RNAcentral.
GUUACCUACGGGGGGCAGCAGUGGGGAAUAUUGCACAAUGGGGGAAACCCUGAUGCAGCAACGCCGCGUGAAGGAAGACGGUUUUCGGAUUGUAAACUUCUGUUCUUAGUGAAGAAUAAUGACGGUAGCUAAGGAGCAAGCCACGGCUAACUACGUGCCAGCAGCCGCGGUAAUACGUAGGUGGCGAGCGUUGUCCGGAAUUACUGGGUGUAAAGGGAGUGUAGGCGGGAAAGCAAGUCAGAAGUGAAAACUAUGGGCUUAACCCAUAGCCUGCUUUUGAAACUGUUUUUCUUGAGUGAAGUAGA